CGUGUAGGCGGCCAGACAGGUCCGUUGUGAAAACUCGAGGCUCAACCUCGAGACGUCGAUGGAAACCGUCUGGCUAGAGUCCGGAAGAGGAGAGUGGAAUUCCUGGUGUAGCGGUGAAAUGCGCAGAUAUCAGGAAGAACACCUAUGGCGAAGGCAGCUCUCUGGGACGGUACUGACGCUGAGCGCGAAGCGUGGGAGCGAACA
RNAcentral lists this ribosomal RNA (204 nucleotides) under uncultured bacterium. Its description in RNAcentral is "partial 16S ribosomal RNA". It matches the Rfam family "Bacterial small subunit ribosomal RNA", at positions 568 to 774 of the family's 1533-position model. The record is from RNAcentral.